GACAGAGGUGGCAAGCGUUGUUCGGAUUUAUUGGGUGUAAAGGGUCCGUAGGUGGUCGAGCAAGUCCGGCGUGAAAUCCCAUGGCUCAACCGUGGAACGGCGUUGGAAACUGCACGACUUGAGUACCGCAGAGGUAAAGGGAAUUCCCGGUGUAAGGGUGAAAUCUGUAGAUAUCGGGAGGAACACCAGUGGCGAAGGCGCUUUACUGGGCGGUUACUGACACUGAGGGACGAAAGCAAGGGGAGCAAACAGG
Molecule: ribosomal RNA, 253 nt
Filed under: uncultured bacterium
Lineage: Bacteria
Description: partial 16S ribosomal RNA
Rfam family: Bacterial small subunit ribosomal RNA
Source: RNAcentral